RNAcentral lists this non-coding RNA (27 nucleotides) under Cricetulus griseus (Chinese hamster). Lineage: Eukaryota; Metazoa; Chordata; Mammalia; Rodentia; Cricetidae. The record is from RNAcentral.
GCUACCGGCCCGGCACCGUGGCUCUGC